This 253-nucleotide ribosomal RNA is filed under the name uncultured bacterium. RNAcentral's name for it is "partial 16S ribosomal RNA". It matches the Rfam family "Bacterial small subunit ribosomal RNA", at positions 524 to 776 of the family's 1533-position model. The record is from RNAcentral.
UACAGAGGGUGCGAGCGUUGUUCGGAAUUAUUGGGCGUAAAGCGCGUGUAGGCGGGAUGGCAAGUCAGGUGUGAAAGCCCUCGGCUCAACCGAGGAAGUGCGCCUGAAACUACCGUUCUUGAGUGCCGGAGAGGGUGGCGGAAUUCCCGGUGUAGAGGUGAAAUUCGUAGAUAUCGGGAGGAACACCAGUGGCGAAGGCGGCCACCUGGACGGUUUCUGACGCUAAGACGCGAAAGCGUGGGGAGCAAACAGG